GGGGACGUGGCGGAACGGUAGACGCGCCGGACUUAAAAUCCGUUGGAGUAAUCCGUGUGGGUUCGAGUCCCACCGUCCCUACCA
Molecule: transfer RNA, 84 nt
Filed under: Caulobacter sp. BP25
Lineage: Bacteria; Pseudomonadati; Pseudomonadota; Alphaproteobacteria; Caulobacterales; Caulobacteraceae
Description: tRNA-Leu
Rfam family: tRNA
About the family: Transfer RNA (tRNA) molecules are approximately 80 nucleotides in length. Their secondary structure includes four short double-helical elements and three loops (D, anti-codon, and T loops).
Source: RNAcentral